Puntigrus tetrazona (Sumatra barb) is the source of this 79-nucleotide small nucleolar RNA. Lineage: Eukaryota; Metazoa; Chordata; Actinopteri; Cypriniformes; Cyprinidae. The record is from RefSeq and is a predicted model, not a curated record.
AAGAAAUGAUCGUUUUUUUAUUCUCCAUCCGAAACUUACAUUGAAGUCAAAACGAUAUGGCUUUGUAUCACUGAUCAUG